Long non-coding RNA from Silurus meridionalis, 620 nucleotides. RefSeq lists it as uncharacterized. The transcript is spliced from 2 exons. NCBI's taxonomy places the organism in Eukaryota, Metazoa, Chordata, Actinopteri, Siluriformes, Siluridae. The record is from RefSeq and is a predicted model, not a curated record.
GUGUGUGUGUGUGUGUGUGUGUGUGUGUGUGUGUGUGUGUGUGUGUGUGUGGUCACUGUAGUGUAACAGAGGUUUUUGUACGACAGUUUCAUUAGAAUGUAUCACUGUGGUUCACUUUUGGUGGAGGAACCAAACUGAUCAUCACCGGUCCCACGGUGAAGCCCUCCGUGUCUCUGCUCCCUUCCUCCUCUCUGCAGCCGUCUGACAGAUCGGCCUCGCUGCUCUGCCUGCUGUCUGCCUACUCUCCACAGGGGGCGCUGGUGAGCUGGACAGUGGACGGCUCAGAGGUGAAGGAUGGGGUUCUGACCAGCCCAGAAGAACACAAGAAGGAUGGUUACACACGCAGCAGCACCCUGACCCUCAGCAAAGAACUGUGGGAAAAGGGGGAGGAGUUUGUCUGUACCGUCUCCCAUGGUGGUGUCCAUCAUCCGCUCACGUUCAGAAAGAGCCAGUGUUAAGACCAACAGCUCCAAGAUAGAAUUGAACACUGAGCUGCUCACACAUCCAUCUACAAUCGAGUUUCAAUUCUACACAAUGCUGACAUUUCUGUCUUUCCUCUCUUCACUGUCCUGUUGCUCUUCCUGUAGUUUUGCUCUGCUGAAAUAAAGCUUCAUUUUGGA